UGAAAAGCUCAACCGGUACAGCGUGAGACUCUUAAUCUCAGGGUUGUGGGUUCGAGUCCCGUAUCGAGCAAAA
Podarcis lilfordi (Lilford's wall lizard) is the source of this 73-nucleotide non-coding RNA. The record is from the annotation of a GenBank genome assembly. Lineage: Eukaryota; Metazoa; Chordata; Lepidosauria; Squamata; Lacertidae.